GGUGGCCUGGGAGGCUGCUAGCUCUGAGCGAUGAGUGGUGCCAAGGUGCCUGAAGGAGAGUUGCAGCUCAAACAGCAAGUGGUCCAGCUCUCAGACCACUUGAGGCCACCUGGCAUGUGGCGGCCAAGACCACAGUUGGGGCGGGGCCUUGAGUCUGAUUUUGAUUGGAUUCCUAGUUCGGCUCAUGCCUGACAGCACUUUCUCAGACAGGCUUCCCUGACCUCCUAAGAUUCCUGGGAACACCACCAUGGAGGGCCUGGCCUUUGGCGGUGGACAGUCUGUGGCUGGGUGGGAACGUCAGGAGUGGGGCCUGCCUCUUUGCUGGGAAUGCCGUGCACUCCCAGCCCACUUGCCCCAUGCCAGCACUCGAGGCAGGACUUCGCAGGUGAGCAGUAACGGAAAUCAGCCCCGUUUAUUCCUCCCAGCACCUGCCUUAUCCAACUCCCCACGCUGUGGCUGAGUCCCAGCCUGCUAUGGAAGCAUCACUGGACUCCCAUUGAACUCUGUGCAGAUUCGCUGUUCGUAGACAUGGUACCUGAUGGACACCAAGCUACGUACAGCUUCAAGGCCCCUUCUUUCUUUGCUAAUAAAAAAUAAAAAAUAAAAACAUAAUACACGU
Long non-coding RNA from Homo sapiens (human), 619 nucleotides. Ensembl annotates it as Pvt1 oncogene. Its record names the gene PVT1. Lineage: Eukaryota; Metazoa; Chordata; Mammalia; Primates; Hominidae. The record is from Ensembl.